Molecule: long non-coding RNA, 18413 nt
Filed under: Prunus persica (peach)
Lineage: Eukaryota; Viridiplantae; Streptophyta; Magnoliopsida; Rosales; Rosaceae
Description: long non-coding RNA (PPER_LNC004105)
Source: RNAcentral
CUUGUCAACGAAGUCAGCCCAGAACCUGGCUUGGGCUCUAAGGUAAGGAUCAGAGGGCAACAGAGGAGUUUUAUCCUUCCAAACCUCAUCAAUGUACUCAAGGGCAACUAGGGACUCGGACACCGGUUUGCCAUUGUGAAUGAGAACCGGGAUCUUCUUGUGAACCGGGUUCGACUGGAGCAACAGUGCACUCUUGUUACUCAAGUCCUCCUCUUUGUACUCGUACUGAAUGCCCUUCUCAGCCAGUGCAACUCUCACCCUCAUCCCAAAUGGGCUUGGCCAGAAGUCCAACAACAACACCUCAUCCGCCAUUGAAGACUCAAAUUUGAACUUAGCUUAAUUAAGAUAUGGAGCUGUGGAGGGUGGUGAUGUGUGUCAGUGUGAGUAUUUAUGGACAAACAUUCAAAGCAGCAGCAAUCAGAUUACGUCAUUGCAUGCGUUCGAUAUAUUUUCAUUGAAUACUGUUCCUAAUAAUAUAAUUGAGAAAGUAGGACUAACGUAUGGAUUUUAUUAUUUUAUUAUUUUUUGGGUCAAGGACCCCAUUGGUUUUAGGUAGACGAACUUGAACACGCAACACAAAUACCAAAGAAUAAACUGAAAAUAUACAAUUUUUAAUGACUUUUUAGGCAUAUAAAAUAUUUGAAGGAGAUAAGCGAUAGCUUUUUUUCUUUUCUUUUUUGGGUCAAGGGAGGUGAUAUAUAUAUAGCUUCUUGAGCCUGCACAGAAUAUAUCAUAAUGCAGUUGACAAGAAAACAUUUAGUAGAAGUUGAGAACUUGAUAAUUUGACUACAAAGGCAAACCACCAAAAACAUAUGACCAGAGAGUUUGACGGAAACAAGUCCAUUUGUUUUUGUAUUGUUUUUUAUUGUAUGUAUUUCGGAAACGAGUCGGGUAGGGGCCGGGUAUGACAGUAUCAUCCUCGUCCUCGCUCUCCAUCCCCGCCUCUGUUCUCGAACCCAUCCCCAUCUCCGUUCUCAUCGGGGGACUAUUCCUCAUACCUGCCCCGAAUCCCUGAAUUUGUUUGCAUAAAAAAUAUUUAUCAUAUAUUUUAACAUUAAAUUUCAUAUUAAAUUAUCAUUCAACACAUCCAAAUUAACUAUAAAGUUUAACUCAACUAUUCAGAAUCACAUCAAUAUGAAAUUCCAAAGAAGAUUAGAAAGAAUUAGGAGAGAGAGGUUAACUUAGGGUUAAACAUAAAUAUUGUAAUUAUAUAUGUAUUUAUUUAAAUAUAAACAUAUAUAUUUUCGGAUCGGGUUUGGGGAUGGGGACACCAAUACCAUCCCCUCCCCAUAUCCGUAGGGGAUUUUUCAAGUUCGGAAAUUCCCGUACCCGAUACCCGUUUGACCCCGAAAUCUCCUCCCAUUAGGGUCGGGGACCCGUCCCCGUGGGAAUUUCUGUCAUCCCUAGUUUUGAUAAACUGAAUAGUCAUGGGGGAGCUGGAAGCCCUAUAAGCUUCGCAGAAACAGUGUUUUUUUUUUUUUUUUGGGGUGAGUGAUAAUUCUCUGCAGGAAGGAAGUAGGAUUAAAAAUAACAUUUUAACUAAUCCCAUUGAAUUGUCUAGCAAUUUUCUUAUGCAAAUUUUCUUAAAAUUGGGGAGGAAUUUAUCGAAGUCCUGAAGCAGUUGGAAGGAGAGCUUGGAAACAAAUUAACCUUACUUUGAGGGUGAGAGUUUUGGGUUCCUGGACAUUUCCCUUAUCACAUUCUACAGCUUGGUUCUAUGAAUUUGAGACCUGUGGAAACUUCAGCAUAGAGGCAGAGAGUCCCAAGCUGAUUGCAUGGGCCAAGAGGUGCAUGCAGAAGGACAGUGUGUGCAAAACACUUCCUGACCAUAAAAAGGUGUAUGAGUCUGUUAUUGGCAUGAAGAAGAUGUUUGGUAUGGAGUAGAAGAAGAAAAUAGGGUUCUAGCAUAUUAAUUAUCACACAAUGUUAAUUAGAGAGUCUGCAAUGAAGUCUUAGGCUGUUCUAGUUUUCUUUCCUUUCAGCUUCAUUUUUUUUUUCUCAAUCUAAUAAAAAUAGGAGCUGCUUGCCAACCAGGGUCUGGAAAAGGGCCUUACUUGCAGACGAGUGUGAAAAAUCCUCAUGACACCUUUGUGAUGUGUGUGAAAAAUCCUCUUGUCUUAUUGUUUAGACUAUUACUUGUUAAAAUAAAUAAAUAGGAGCUACUUUAAACACUCGAACCCCAAAAAGAAAAACUCCCACUGGAUAGAAGCAAGGUGAUCAGCAGCAUAAUCACUUUCUCUGGCAAAUCGUGCAGCUCCAAUCUUGAAGAUAUUUAUCUUUCAAUAUAAAACUUUUAUGACAAGUGGAUCCUCAAGACUUCGGCUUUACCAUUGAUAAAAUUUAUUUAUUAGAAGCUUUAAAUUAUGACUAGCACUUAGUGCUGUAGCAUCAACUUUUUAAAGAUCACCUACAAUGCUAGCCCACAAUCACAUAUGACGAAAGCAGUGACAACUACUGGCACUAUUGAUCAAGUUUACAAAUGUCAACACUACAAGCCAAAGCACACGCAGACACCUCAUAGUUAAAAUCCAAAACGAUGUCGCAUCAUCCUUUUGUAUUAUAUAAACGUUACACUUAAAUUGCAGUCUUAGCAGUAGAAGUCAGUGCUGCAUGCCUUUCUUGCUUGAUGAGUCUUUGAGUUUAGCAACAAGCUAAGCUGCUACAAGAAGAGGAAGUUUGUGUGUGUCGGAAAUGGCGGAUGAUGAGGUUGUUGUUUUGGGAUUCUGGCCAAGCAUGUAUGGGACGAGGGCAACGAUAGCUCUGGACGAGAAGGGUGUCAAGUAUGAGUACAGAGAGCAGGACUUGAGGAACAAGAGCUCACUGCUUCUGCAGAUGAACCCGGUUCACAAGAAGAUCCCGGUUCUCAUCCACAACGGUAAACCGGUCUGUGAGUCACUCAUCAUUGUGCAAUACAUUGAUGAGGUUUGGGAGGGUAAAGCUCCUUUGCUUCCCUCUGAUCCUUACCAGAGAGCUCGGGCCAGGGUCUGGGCUGAUUUCAUUGAUAAGAAGGUAAUUAAUGAACUUGUUUUCUGUAUAAUUUUCUAUUUUCCCUUCUCCUUUUAAGUUGGUAUCAUAUGUAUAUAUUGUUUGCAAUUUAAUUUAAUUUUAUAUGUGAUUUGGAUUUGCAUGGAUUUUUACCAUCUUGGAUAUUUGUUUUCAUGUGUUUUAAUAUGUCACUCUCUUUUUGUGAUCAUACUGAAAAAAGAAAAAAAAAUGGACAUAUUUGAAAUUGGUAUGUUUUCACAAAUCCAAAUUGAAAGAAAUUCAGAGCAUUUUUUUUUUUAAGGGGAAGCAGAUCAAUUUUGAGGUUAAGCCAUUUUUGAAACAGGUUAAUAUGCAACAUAUUGCUGUCUGAGACAAUGAAGAACAACACCAAUUUAUUUUUGUAUAUUCCUCUUGUUUUCUUUUGGUGGAAUUUUUUUUAUAAAAAGUGAAAACACUGAAUAGUCUACAAUUUUUCUUUUGGAAAAUUGUAGGUACCUGAUGCUAGGAAGAAACUAUGGAGCACAAAAGGAGAAGAACUUGAGGAAGCCAAGAAGGAAUUCAUCGACAUCCUUAAGCAGUUGGAAGGAGAGCUUGGAGACAAGCCUUACUUUGGGGGUGAGAGCUUUGGGUUCUUGGACAUUGCACUCAUCACAUCCUACAACUGGUUUUAUGCAUUUGAGACCCUUGGAAACUUCAGCACAGAGGCAGAGUGCCCCAAGCUGAUUGAAUGGGCCAAGAGGUGCAUGCAGCGGGAGAGCGUUUCGAAAUCUCUUGCCGACCCUAAAAAGGUGUAUGAGUUUCUUCUUGGCUGGAUAACUGGAUAGAAUAGGCUGCUAGCCAGUCCUGCAAUCAAAUGUUAUGUUGUUGUUCUCUUCUGGUUCAUUUUCCUCUCAACUUUGUUUUUCCAGUGAGAGAUCCUUUGGUUCUGUGAGUGUCUAAAUUAUGUUUUUUGGUUGAUUGUUGAUACUUGAAUGGCUUAAACUUCUUUGCUGUAACAAGUUCACAACAAUUUGAUAAUUUCACUGCAAAACCAAACAAAAGGAGAGCAUAUGACAAGAUCAGGCACAACAAAGUUGCCCUCUUUUAUUGCAAAUAUAAAGAACCCAAAACUUGAAACACAGAAAAAGUACAAGCUUAAGUGCCCAUGCAUCUACUGAUCAAUCCCCUUCGCUUUCAUGCGCUGCAGAAACAAGUCAUAGAUCGCUUUCUGGUCAGCAAGAGACUUGGACACACUCUCCUUCUGCAUGCACCUCUUUGCCCAUGCAUAAAACUUGGCUGCUCUGCCUCUAUACUGAAGUUGCCACAUUUCUCAUACACAUAAAACAAGCUAUAGAACGGAACAAGGAACCCGAGGGUUUCACCCCAAAAGUAAGGCUUGUCUCCAAGCUCUCCUUCUAGCAAUCCAAUGCACUCAAGGAACUCUUUCUUAGCUGCUUCCUGUUCUUCUCCUUUGGUUGUCCAUACCACCCUCCCAAUCUCAUACACCUGCAUUUAACAUCACCAAAAUUGCAGAAAAUUUUAGGGUUAAUAAUAAUCUUAGGAGAAAAGAAUUUAGACCACCUUUUUUUCGGGUCAAGGACGUUGAACACGCAACACAAACGCUAUGGAUCAGAAAGUGAAUUGAAAAUUAUACAAUUUUUAGUGACUUUUUAGGCAUAUAUAAGAUUUGAAGGAGGUAUGCGAUUGCUUGUUUUUUUUUUUUUUGGCUUCAAAGUAGGUGAUAUAUAUAGCUUCUUGAGCCUGCACAGAGCAUAUCAUAAUGUGGGUGACAAGAAAACAACUAGUAGAAGUUGACAAAAUUUUGAUAAUUUGACUACAAGUGCCCUUUUAUUCUCAUUUCAAAAUGUUGAAGAAUACAAGUCCCAUAUUGGAAAUUGGACUAAAUAAAGUACAACAUAUAAUGAAUGGUUUCACUACUAAUAUCAUUGAGGUCUUUGUGAUAAAAUUCCACACCUAUUGGGCUUUGUAGAUGGUUAAGUUGGGGACAAUAUCGGUAUUGCUAGUAGUGAACCGCUAGCUCAUCUCUCUGAAAUUUAACACAAAAAACUCCAAAAUAGAAAUAGUGACUCUUCCUGAGGCCCGAGCUAAAAUUUAAUAUUGUGAUAGAUAGUAAACCAAUUUCAUCUAAUCUUGCAGAGGCCCAUAAAAAUCUAAAUUGGUUUUUUUAUAUUAAUUUUUGUGGUAUUUAAAUUCACCGUUGAUGCCACACUGAUGCCACGCUAACAUCAGCAAAUCUCACCUUCGGGCUUGCUCUUUAGCAAAACGACUUACAGCUUGCCCCGUGACACGCCCACCCAAAUUCGGCCGCCCACGACAUUUUUUCAACACAUGCAAACAAAUCAAACACAUUUAUAUAUUUGCUAUCAGUCAAGCUAGACAGAGCUUGAAGAAGAAGAAGAAGCUUGUUUUGCGUAUCAGUCGACAAUGGGGGAUGAGGUUGUUCUUUUGGACUUUUGGGCAAGCAUGUUUGCGAUGAGGGUGAGAGUGGCGCUGGCUGAGAAGGGUGUCAAGUAUGAGAACAGAGAGGAGGACUUGUGGAACAAGAGUUCAUUGCUUCUGCAGAUGAACCCGGUUCACAAGAAGAUCCCGGUUCUCAUCCACAACGGUAAACCGGUCUGUGAGUCUCUGAUCAUUGUGCAGUAUGUUGAUGAGGUUUGGAGAGACAAAGCUCCUCUGCUUCCCUCUGAUCCUUACCAGAGAGCUCGGUCAAGGUUCUGGGCUGAUUUCAUUGACAAGAAGGUAAUUAACUUGUCUAAGUUGUUUGUCUCUUGCCUUUUUUUCUAUAUAUAAUGCUGCUACAUAUAUAUACUGAUUGCAAUUCAACUCCAGAAAAUUUAUAAAUUUUUUUGAAAAUCUAAGUUUUCCCAGGUUAAAAUUUACUUAUAUUAGAUCAAAUUGAAUUCAUAAAUGAGAAACUGUUUUUUCAUGGGAGUUUCAAUGGGUCACUCUGUUCCACACCAGACCUUGAAGCUCAAUUACAACAUGAUCUUGCUUGCUAUCUGGGAAGAUUGUAUAAAAAAUAAACAUAAAACAAGUCCAUUUUAAAAAAAAAAUUUAUCUUAUUGAUUCUGUGUGUCUGGAUAAAUGAGUGGAAUUUUGAUGUAAUGUUUGCAAAAAUUGCAGCUAUACGUUGCUUCGAGGAAAAUAUGGGGCACAAAAGAAGAGGAACAAGAGGCAGGCAAGAAGGAAUUUAUUGAAGCCCUUAAGCAGUUGGAAGGAGAGCUUGGAGACGAGCCCUAUUUUGAGGGUGAGAGCUUUGGGUUCUUGGACAUUGCUCUUAUCCCAUUCUACAGCUGGUUCAAUGCAUAUGAGACUUGUGGAAACUUCAGCACAGAGGCAGAGUGCCCCAAGCUGAUUGAAUGGGCCAAGAGGUGCAUGCGCCGGGAGAGCGUGUCGAAAUCUCUUGCCGACCCGAAAAAGGUGUAUGAGUUUCUCACUAUUUGGGUAGGAUUAUAGAACAGGCUGCUAGCCAGCAGCAGACUGUCACCAUGAUCACCAUGUUAGCAAGUCCUGCAAUCAAAUGUUUGGCAGUUCUUCUGGAUCUUUUUACUUUCAGCUUUGUUUUUCCGGAUAUUUGCCAUUGACAAUAGUAAUGCAGAUACUCUGAUGUGUUUGCCUAUUGUUAUGAAUAAAGUGUUCAUAUGUAGAAAGGGUGUUUCUGAGUUGCAUUUUUUUGGCUGCUUGUUGAGCUUUGUCAUAACAAGUUCACAACAAUUUGAUAAUUUGACUACAAAACGUAUAUGACCAGAGGCACAACAAAGUGCCUCACAAAGUAGAGGGGGCUUGGCCAAGUGCCCUUUUAUUCUAAUUUCAAAACAACCCAAAACAGAGGUUAGAAACUUCGAACACAGAACAAGUAGCCAAUGCUUUUUCCCAUCUACUCCAUUCCAAGUUUACUCCGAAGGCGCAGGGCGAAUUCGUAGACCCUUUUCUGGUCAGGAAGAGACUUGGACACACUCUCCUUCUGCAUGCACCUCUUUGCCCAUGCAAUAAUCUUAGGGUGCUUUGCCUCCACACUGAAGUUUCCAAAUUUCUCGCCUACUUAACCAGUUAUAGGUAGGAAUAAGUGCCACGUCCACGAAUCCGAGGUUCUCACGCCCAAGGUAAGGCUUGUCUCCAAGCUCUUCUUCUAACAACCUUGUGCACUCAAGGAAUUCCCUCUUUGCUGCUUCCUGUUCUUCUCCUUUGGUUCUCCAUGCCCUCUUUCUAUUCUCAUAUACCUGCAUUUUGAUUGGAGUGGAUUUUUACACAAGCAUUGAUCCUAUUUCCAUUUAAUUAUCAUUCUAAUAAUCUACAUCCUCAGUAAUAGUUCCAUGUAUCACAAAAAUCUUAAAGUUCUAACAUAUUCCAAACACAAAUUAGUAAUAUUACCUUCUUGUUAACGAAGUCAGUCCAGAACAUGGCUUGGCCUCUAAGGUAAGGAUCAGAGGGCAAAAGAGGAGCCUUAUCCUUCCAAACCUGGUCGAUGUACUGAACCGCAAUGAGAGACUCGGAGACCGGUUUGCCAUUGUGAAUGAGAACCGGGAUCUUCUUGUGAACCGGGUUCAUCUGCAGCAAGAGUGAGCUCUUGUUGGACAAGUAGUCCUCUUCCCUGGACUCGUACUGAAUACCCUUCUCAGCCAGAGCGAUUCUCACCCUCAUCCCAUAAGGGCUGGCCCAGUAGUUCAACAACACCACCUCAUCCGCCAUUGACAUAUUUGAAUUGCUUGAUAUAAAGUUACAGGGGUUACAAAUAUAAUGAUUGAAAUAGUAAAAGCUUUUAUUCUCCUUGAUGACGACUGGGGACCUCUGAUCCCAUAUAUAUACAAAAAUGGUGACUGCAGGAUAUUAUUUCCUCCACAAAUUAAAGAGGCGCUAAAGCACUUGCAGAGGCCCAUUGACUUCAAAUUUAAAAGAAAUUUAAAACAAGUUGACUAAGCCCAAAACAGAACUAGCCUAUUUAUUAUGUCCUUAAUAUUUUCUAUUUUAUUGAAUAUUGUUAUAAAAUAACUUAGAAUAUGUGCGAUAAUUCAGAGCUGCACGUAAAGUAGAUGAGACACAGCAUUUAACGAGGUUCGGCUAUGCCUACGUCCUCGGAGAGCAGAAGUAGUAACUUUUCCACUAUGUAAAAUAAUAGGGCUACAAGUUUAGUGUUUACAAUAUAUGUGGCUCACUGAAUUUUCUCUCUAGGAGAAUUUCUCUCUGCUCUCUCUUUCCUCUUUCUUCCUUCUCUUCCUUUCUCUUUUUUCUUCUCUUCUUCUUUCCGUUUCUCUUCUUAUUUAUAGGCUGAAAUAAUCACUAUUCAUCACUGUUCACCCGUGACAGACAAACUCUAUCAAAGCCGCCAAAUGAACAGUAAUGAACAGUAAUGAAAACUCUAUCAAGCCGCCAAAUGAAUAGUAAUGAACAGUAAUGAAUAGUUAGUGGGCUCCACAUGUUUAUUCUUUUAUUCUUUUACAACACUCCCCCUUGGAGACCACUAAUGAUAUGUCGGUUGUAUCAUUAAAGACUUGCUUGGAGAAAACCUAGUAAGGUAGAGAACUGAUGGAAAGAAGAGUACAACAAUCUGUAUAGCAUACUUCUGGAUGCUCCCCCUGAUUAAUAUCUCCCCCUGAUGUCUUCAUGAUUAUCUUUUGGAUUGAGAAUCUUUCGGAGUGAGUGGAUGAUGUAGCCACCAACAAUUCAUAUAGUAAAUAUAUUUCCAGUGAGCUAUCUCUAUGUAAAUCAUAGAAAUUUUCAGAGUCCGCAUAUCUAAUAACGCUUGGGCUAUUUAUAAGUUCACUUGAAAGAAUAUGCCCAUACAUGGUGUUAUGCGGAAAUAGCAUCAAAUAUACCUCACAUCAUCCCAAAAUGAUGGUGAUGGAGUUGAGCCUUAUCUGGAAAAUAUGAUAUCCGGUCCAACAUACUUCCGGAAAAUCCUUAAAGUGCCCAACGGAUAAUCCUCAUAAAAAUGCUUCAAUACUUUCUUAGUAUAAGCAAGUAUCUCGUUGGCAUAAUGUUCGAUCUUUAAGUCGAGACAAAUAUUUCUGGAAUUCUUGAGAAGCUUUAAUGUGUUGCAAACACAUUAUAAUCAAUAUACUCACUGAGGCAAUUUAUGUACAUUAAUAUUGAGUACAGAUUUCGUGCUUCAGGCACAUGUCCACAGACUUGCUUCAUGCAAUUUCAAUCCUUUCAAGGAUUUUGUUUAAAGGGAUUAAACUCUAUGACACAUUAUAUAGCUUUAACCCAGCUAUUUAUACAUCUUUAGGGAAUCACUUCAGGUGAUAUGCUCUGUGCAUUUAAUAACCCUUAAAGAUAACAUGUUGGUCUCCGUAAAUGUGCAAUAAAGGGGCACAAUUGAAUCUAUAAAUAUGGAGAAAACCCAACAUCCCUUGUUUAUGUCAAAAACAUUGUGUCAUACAAAGUAGGUAUAUUCCCUUUUUAUUCCGAACACCCAAGUAUAACUUUUAAUAUUAACAUCUUUUAGGGUUCGUACUGUGGGUUUGUUCUUUCACUUUCAUUCUCAUCUAUAAUGGAAUUGCCUCAUUCCAUUUUGGCCAAUGAUAUUGUCGACAUUUAAUAAUUGAACGUGGUUCCAAUCAACACAGCCCAUUGAUGAUUUGAGUAGCUACUCCAAAACCAAAAAUUGUCAUUCAUCAAUUCAUGAUCCCACCAUUCUCAUGUGCAUGCGCAUGCAUGAAUUAAAAGCAUUUAUUUGCCUUUGGGUACCCAAGCCACUUCAUGGGGCUUUUAUUAUGUGAGAAUGUGGAUUAUAACCUCCAUUGGAGCGUUAUUUAGUAGUAGGGCGUGGAUAAUCUCUAUUUAGGGAGUUGGAACAUUGAGAACCCAUAUAUCUGUCAUGUUGCAGGCAUGCCACAGAUUAAUACAUACAUGUCAAUUAAUUUCUGGGACUUUAACCCAUAUUAUGGGACUUUAACCCAUAUAAUUUGCUACGCAUUAGGCGUGCAUAAUAUCAAUAUUGACAUGUCAAAGGAUUGUCCAUUUGGGACUUCAAUCCACAUCAUUUGCUACGCAACAGGCGUGCAUCAUAUUGAUCACUGCUAUACCCAUGUUAUGUUCUUAUGGGACUUUUAAUCUGUGCAGUGUAUUAUCAAUGUAUCCAACUUGCAAUCUGUAAAAUUUGCAUUAAUAAUUCAUGGAUACAUACAAGUCAUUCUUUUGGAACGGACUUAUCUCCCCAUUUGGUUACCUUUCAAGAUAAAAUAUCAAAUAGAUAUAUAAGCAUAAAAUAACACAAGUAUUGCUUACAUCCUUAGGUGGGAGAAACUUUUCUCAAGUAUCAUUCAAGCUCAUAUCAGCCCAGUAAAUAUAAUGUAGCGCUUGAUGAUCUAGUUAUAUCCUGCAAGAGCAAAAAUCACAACUCUUUUGCCUCUGUCAAAACAAAUAACCCUCAUAGUUAGGAUUACUUCAUGGAUUCAUUAUUCAGAUGUUCAUUCUAAAGAAAUAAAAUCUCUUAUGAACAGAGAGUUAUAAAAAGAGAAAAAAUGCAAAAAUAAUGUGAUAUUGAUUGCAAGAGAAGGUAAGCAAUUAGGGAAGGAAGCUGGUGGGAGCAGACAAUAAGCUCUCAUAUCUCCUAGUCUAGAAGGACCUCAGGAGAUUAGAGCAUAAGGCCGCCUUUACAAUUCCCUGAUCUUGUAGAAACAUGAUCAGGGAUAGUCUUGCUUCCUGAAUGGAUGAUCAGAGAUAGUCUUGCUUCUCAGGCAUAUUAAGUGCUUACUGAUAAGAAAAACAAGUAGAUAUCGCAUCACUAGGUAUGGAGUAAACUGGAUGUCUUCUGCAAAGAAAAUUUCGUUAGUAACACAUUUAUACACAAAUACAAUGAAUAGGUAGAACCGGUGAAUUUCAAAUUAACCAUAGGAAAAUUGCGAGAUUCUCGGGAUGCUGUUGAAAAAGUGCGAGAUUCUCGGGAUGCUUUUGAAAAAGUAUCUCUGUGAAAUCCGUAAAGCAAGAUCGGCUUUGAAAAUAAUGCUUGAAAACGUCGAAAGUGCCGACAGGCAUUAUUAGAGGCCACGUGAAAUUUUGGACUCUAGGAAAGAAAAAGAUAAUAUGGGGAUUCGAGAAGAUAUUGGGGUCCUGAAAAACAGUAGCCAUAUUACCUUCUAUAGAUAUGGCCUUUGUAAAACUUGAUUGGAGCAACUGCGUUUCAACUCAAAUUUCUUCAUUUUCUGAAACUUUAGUUUUCCUAAGACUUUCUUCGAAACCUUCUCAAAAAUGGCUUCCUCUUCUUCCUGCCCAAAUUAUUUCAAUUUAAAUGAUGCUCCAACAGCAAACAGUGACGCCAAAGUUUGGCGUCCAUCCUUUGUAUCCCAAAAUCGUCAUCUCACAGUUAAUGAUUCUGUGAUGAUGAAUGAUGCUACUGCUGUCAUAGUAGCUAGGAAUUUCAUUACUCCAAUGGAUGAAAUGCUGUUAACAGGGAGGUCUGAGGAAGAGGCUAUUGAUGACUCAAUGGCUUUUAGCAUUCAGAGUGCUGUUUCUGUUUCUAACAUGGCUGAUCGUUUGCGUGUUAGAGCAAACGAGGUUGAGAAGCUGACAACUGAAAAUUCGUCUCUCCAAAGAAUGCUUCAUGAGUCUCAACAGGAGGUUGAGAAACUUAAAGGAGAGAAUAAUUCCUUGUUGAAACUGGUGAGUUCGUACUCAGUUGAUACACUGAGAAGGCUAGACAUGCUGCAGGUCUCCAAUGAAAGAAUUUUGGGAGACCACGAGAAGCUCAUGGCUAAGCUUAAGAGGCGCCGUCCUCUUCCUUCAGAGGCUUCCAGAACAUAAUGUAAUUUUAUAGAUUUUACAGGGCCUGCACCUUCAUUGCAGGUGAAAAAAAUCUAUCUGUUGUAUGUUUCUGUAAUAAUAAUUGCGCACAUUCUUAAACUUGCACCUGUGGUUUUUACGUCUUUUCAAAAUGACGGUUUGGAACCUUGUGCCUUAUAGGUUCAAAUAACCACAUUGUCUCUCCCAAAUUGCAUGGUAGCCCGGAACUUUUGGCCUGGGCACAAACUCAGAAUUUAUUUGCCCUUUUCAAAUGGACAUGAAAUAUGAAUUGAGUAAAAGCCACGAUAAUAUCGCAAUAUAGUAGUGAAGAGCAUUAACUACUAUAUACCCACAACUUCAAGUUCAGGAUCUCUCAUAUAUUUGGAUCCAUGGGCUUCCGCCCCAGGUAUAAUAAAAUAUGUGGGGAGCCUCAAUUCGUUAUUUGAGGUUUAUAUUGAUAUUAUCCAUUUCGCGGUGUAUUCUUAACAACCGGAAUUCACAAAAUAUAUUUCUUCCUUGAGGUGUCGAUUAUAACAGAAUCGAACUUUAUUAAAUUCAUCAUCUUCUUAUGCCAAAGAAAUAUGUAGUGUACCACAAUUUGCAAUAAUACCUCAAGGGUUGUCCAUUUAAUUGUUGGAACUUCAGGUUCUCAAUACUCUUAAAUUUUGAACUUCAGGCCAAAGCCACAUAUUCUCAUGGUAUGGACAUUUUUACAAUUUUCUGUACAUAUUCCGGGACUUCAAGCCCUUACAUAAUUGUCAUAUUUUGAGGAACUUCUGGCAUCUCAUUUAAUUUCUCAUCCAUGAGUUUAAGGAACUGCAGGUUCCCUUUUGUAUAUAGUGACGGUUUAUCCAAAAUGGUUAAUAUUUAUGCAUACGUCACUAUUCAUGUGAAUAGUAUUGUUCAUUAAGUCAUGAAUACAUAUCUAUUCAUGUGUAAAGUACAUCUGCUAGUACAGUUAUCAUCCAUGGCCCAUAUUUAUGCAUACGUCACUAUUCAUGUGAAUAGUACUGUUCAUCAAGUCAUGAAUACAUAUCUAUUCAUGUGUACAGUACAUCUGCCAGUACAGUUAUCAUCCAUGUGUACGGCACUAUGAACCAAUACGGUACUAUUACAUCAUUAAGGAACCCCAGGUCCUUAUUCACAUGUCAGGGAUCAAGGACCUUUAAGUCCAAUCACAUGUUUACAAGUAUAGUACCGGAGAGACUGCCAGCUCUCAUAUCAAUAUUAUCAUCAAUGAUCUUCAAGUCCUGAUGUAAUUGUAUGAUGAGGAUCAAGGAACUUCUGGUCCUGAUCUGCACACUGUAAAAACUCAUCAUACAGCACAAUUAAUCCAUAAAAUAAAUUGCUGAUAAAUAAAUUACUGGUAUGGACGAUAAACCCGCACCAUACUUUAAAUAAAUUAAAUAGCUUGCUGUAUGGACGUUAAUCCCGCACCAUAUCUUAAAUAAAAUUAAAUGUGCGGUAAAGUAAACGUGCUUAUAUGGGCACUAAUUCUGCUCCAUACAUUUAAAUAAAAGCAAAGGCGUGGGCGAUAAACCCGCACCACCCUUUUAAAUAAAUACUGUUGUAUGGGUAAUAAACCUACACCAUAUAGUAAAUAAAAAAAAUGUGGGAAUAAAAACCACCACUUUGAACAAGAUAAGGAAAGUGUUAGUAUUAGUAACGGUCUCCCACUGAUAAUAUGUUUAGUAUUACCAAGGGUCCAUUUUUGUUAAUGGUUAGUAAUAGAAAAGCAGAUAAAUAUAGUAUAUUAUAUUACCAUCAACUUUUCAUAUAUAAUAUAUAUAUAUAUAUAUUAUACUGAUAUAUUAGUGGAAAGCUAGAUACGUUGGCUUUUCUUCUUUACAUCAACAUAAUGGUUAGUAUUAUAAAUAAUAGUGCAGCACAAAAAUUAUACCUGAGAGCUUCUCGUGCUGAUAACGUGUUAUAAAAUAACCUAGAAUAUGUGCGAUAAUUCAGAGCUGCACGUAAAGUAGAUGAGACACAGCAUUUAACGAGGUUCGGCUAUGCCUACGUCCUCGGAGAGCAGCAGUAGUAACUUUUCCACUAUGUAAAAUAAUAGGGCUACAAGUUUAGUGUUUACAAUAUAUGUGGCUCACUGAAUUUUCUCUCUAGGAGAAUUUCUCUCUGCUCUCUCUUUCCUCUUUCUUCCUUCUCUUCCUUUCUCUUUUUUCUUCUCUUCUUCUUUCCGUUUCUCUUCUUAUUUAUAGGCUGAAAUAAUCACUAUUCAUCACUGUUCACCCGUGACAGACAAACUCUAUCAAAGCCGCCAAAUGAACAGUAAUGAACAGUAAUGAAAACUCUAUCAAGCCGCCAAAUGAAUAGUAAUGAACAGUAAUGAAUAGUUAGUGGGCUCCACAUGUUUAUUCUUUUAUUCUUUUACAACAAAUAUAGACAAAUUUUUCUUAUAAUAAGUGAAUUAGUAAGACUCUACAUAGCAAUUUGACAAGUUGAUUAGUGGAAUAUGUCCUAAACGGAAAUAGUACCUCUUGACUUGACCCAUCAAACAUAUGGCCUAAAAAAUGGUAGAAGAUAUACUUGAACAGAAGAAGCCUAUCAUACACAAAAAUUUCACACGUAAGUUGCAAAAGCGAAAGCAAGAAGUAGAUGGAAAACUUUGAUUGGAAUUGGAAAAAACAACACCUUUGUGCCAUGACAAAGGGCAAGUAAAGGCAAAUACUAUUCACGUGAAUUGUGACUAUCCUAGUAAUUUUUUGAUGCAUUCCCAUCCAUUGUUAGAUAUGAGGAGAGGAAUUUGUAUGGAUUUUGAUGUGGGAAGCGAAGAACACGACUAGAUAUUUAUAAAUAAAAAAAUUCUGAUUUUUUUUAUUUUUUAUUUUUAUUUUUUUGGUAUAUAUCCUAAACGGAAAUAGUUGUAUACAUAUAGACCAGUUGACUUGACCCAUCAAAAAUAUGGUAGAAGAUAUACUUGAACGCAGGAAGCCUAUCAUACACAAAAUUUCCACAUGUAGUGCAAGUUGCAAAAGCGAAAGCAAGAAGUAGGUGGAAAACUUUGAUUGGAAUUGGAAAACACAACACCUUUGUGUCAUGACAAAGGGCAAAUACUAUUCAUGUGAAUAGUGACUGUCCUAGCAAUUUUUUUAUGUAUUCCCAUCCAUUGUUAGAUAUGUGGAGAGGAAUUUGUAUGGAUUUUGGUGUGGGAAGCGAAGAACAUGGCUAGAUAUUUAUAAAAAAAAAAUUUCUGAUUUUUUAAAUUUUAAUUUUAAUUUUUUUGGUAUAUAUCAUAAACGGAAAUAGUUGUAUACAAAUAGACCAGUGGACUUGACCCAUCAAAAAUAUGGUCUCAAAAUAUGGUAGAAGAUAUACUUGAACAGAGGAAGCCUAUCAUACACAAAAAUCCCACAUGUAGUGCAACUCGCAAAAGCGAAAGCAAGAAAUAGGUGGAAAACUUUUAUUGGAAUUAGAAAACAUAAUACCUUUAUGCCAUGACAAAAGGGCAAGUAAGGGCAAAUACUAUUCACGCGAAUAGUGACUGUCCUAGCAAUUUUUUGAUGCAUUCUCAUUUAUUGUCAUGGCAACUCAAGGGUAACCACUAUUUACAUAAAAUACGAGGAGAGGAAUUUGUAUGGAUUUUGGUGUGUAAAGUGAAAAAAAUGGCUAGGUAUUUAUAGAAAUUUUUUUUCUGAUUAUUGUAUUUUUAAAAUUUUUUUUUUGGUAUUUUAAUUAACUGCUGAUGUCAGCAUGACGUGAACUUGCUUAGGCAAGCCUUGCCUUAGGCUUGCUCAAUUUUCUGGACCCACUUCUUGCUUUGGCAAUUUUUUCUUUGUGAGUGUUGUUUUUAGAGCCUAAUAGAAGGGGAGGGGUGGAAGUGCUCUUAAGCAAAACCACAUACAGCAUGCAACGUGACGCCCCUUCCCAAAUUCAGUCGCCAAGUACAUUUUUUUAGCACAUGCGAACAAAUCAAAAAGUACAUUUUUUUAGCACAUGCAAACAAAUCAAACACCUUUAUAUUUUUGCUUUCAGUCAAGCUAGACAGAGCUUGAAGAAGAAGAAGAAGAAGCUUGUUUUGUGUGUCAGUCAACAAUGGCGGAUGAGGUUGUUCUUUUGGACUUCUGUGCAAGCAUGUUUGCGAUGAGGGCGAGAGUGGCGCUGGCUGAGAAGGGUGUCAAGUAUGAGAACAGAGAGGAGGACUUGAGGAAUAAGAGUUCAUUGCUUCUGCAGAUGAACCCGGUUCACAAGAUGAUCCCGGUUCUCAUCCACAACGGUAAACCGAUCUGUGAGUCUCUGAUCAUUGUGCAGUAUGUUGAUGAGGUCUGGAGGGACAAAGCUCCUCUGCUUCCCUCGGAUCCUUACCAGAGAGCUCGGUCAAGGUUCUGGGCGGACUUCAUUGAUAAGAAGGUAAUUAGCUUGUCUAAGUUGUCUCUUGCCUUUUUUUAUAUAUAUAAAGCUGCUAUAUAUACUGAUUGCAAUUCAACUACAGAAAAAUUAUAGAAAAUUUUGAAAAUUUGAAGUUUUCCCGGCUUAAAAUUUACUUAUAUUAGACCAAAUUGAAAGGAUUUACAUAAAUGAGAAACUGUUUUGUCAUGGGUUUUUCAAUGGGUCACUCUGUUCCACACCAGACCUUGAAACUAUGGUAUGCUCAAUUACAACAUGAUCUUGCUUGCUAUCUGGGAAGAUUGUAUAAAAAAAAUAAAACAAGUCCACUUCUUAAAAAUAUCUUAUUAAUUCUGUGUGUCUGGAUAAAUGAGUGGAAUUUUUUUGAAAAUAGAAACUGAUUAGUGUUAGAGGAGCAACAAGCCUUCAACCUUGGCAAAAACAGAGUUUUAAUUUCAAGUUUUGGAAUGGGGACUAGAAAAAACAGUUUAAUCCAAUUGAAUAAUUUCUAGGAGUUCAUUUUGAUGUAAUGUUUGCAAAAAUUGCAGCUAUACGUUGCUUCGAGGAAAAUAUGGGGCACAAAAGGAGAGGAACAAGAGGCAGGCAAGAAGGAAUUCAUUGAAGCCCUUAAGCAGUUGGAAGGAGAGCUUGGAGACAGGCCUUAUUUUGAGGGUGAGAGCUUUGGGUUCUUGGACAUUGCUCUUAUCCCAUUCUACAGCUGGUACUAUGCAUAUGAGACUUUUGGAAGAGCGUGUCGAAAUCUCUUGCAGACCCUAAAAAGGUGUAUGAGUCUCUUGUUAAUUGGGUAUAGAACAGGCUGCUAGCCAGCCGCAGACUCUAUCAACAUGGUCACCAUGUUAGCAAAUCCUGCAAUCAUAUGUUAGGCUGUUCUUCUGGAUCUUUUUCCUUUCAGCUUUGUUUUUCCAGUCAAUAAUGAUAUUUGCCGUCGACAAUAGUAAUGCAGAUACUUUGAUGUGUUUGCCUAUUGUUAUGAAUAAAGUGUUCAUAUGCAGAAAGGGUGUUUCUGAGUUGCAUUUUUUUGGCUGCUUGUUGAGCUUUGUCAUAACAAGUUCACAACAAUUUGAUAAUUUGACUACAAAACGUAUAUGACCAGAGACACAACAAAGUGCCUCCACAAAGUAGAGGGGGCUUGGCAACUUGGCCAACUGCCCUUUUAUUCUAAUUUCAGAACAACCCUAAACAGAGGUUGAAACUUAAAAAACACAGAACAAGUACAUGGAUGAUAUCUUAUUUAUGCCCAUGCUUUUUCCCAUCUACUCCAAUCCAAGUUUACUCCGAAGGCGCAGGGCGAAUUCGUAGACCCUUUUCUGGUCAGGAAGAGACUUGGACACACUCUCCUUCUGCAUGCACCUCUUUGCCCAUGCAAUAAACUUUGGGUGCUUUGCCUCCACACUGAAGUUUCCAAUUUUCUCGCGCGCAUAAAACCAGCUAUAGGUAGGAAUAAGUGCCACGUCCACGAAUCCGAGAUUCUCACCCCCAAAGUAAGGCUUGUCUCCAAGCUCUUCUUCUAACAACCUUAUGCACUCAAGGAAUUCCCUCUUUGCUGCUUCUUGUUCUUCUCCUUUGGUUCUCCAUGUCCUCUUUGCACUCUCAUAUACCUGCGUUUCACACCUCAGGCGAACCAUAAAAACUAUGUAUAAUUGGAUCAAUUAUAUUUUAGACCUAUGUAAUGUAUAUAUAUAAAGUAAAAGAUAGAGAAUGGUGAAACAUUCAAAAUUAAAAGAAAAUUCAGAUACUAAAUCUUAUUUUUAUGAAACACAACUACCCAUUAAUUAUCUUUUUUAAUUCUAAAAUAAAUUUAUAAAAAAAAGCCUUUCGUAGGCUCGAAAGCGCGUGCAGAGAGGCUAAUUAUUUAUAAUGUCACAGUUAUAUAACUUGGCGUUUUUCGGUUAGAGUGGAUUUUUACACAUAUUAUCUUUCAAUGAACAGUUCAUAUUGAUUGUGUGGGGCACCCAAUCGAGAUGUUAUUAACUUACUAACUAAUUAGCACUUAUUGUAACACUGAAAACACAAGCAUUUAUCCUAUUUCCAUUUAAUUAUCAUUCUAAUAAUUUACACAUCCUCAGUAAUAGUUCCAUGUAUCACAAAAAUCUUAAAGUUCUAACAUAUUCCAAACACAAAUUAGUAAUAUUACCUUCUUGUCAACGAAGUCAGCCCAGAACAUGGCUUGGGCUCUAAGGUAAGGAUCAGAGGGCAAAAGAGGAGCCUUAUCCUUCCAAACCUCGUCGAUGUACUGAACCGCAAUGAGAGACUCGGAGACCGGUUUGCCAUUGUGAAUGAGAACCGGGAUCUUCUUGUGAACCGGGUUCAUCUGCAGCAAGAGUGAGCUCUUGUUGGUCAAGUAGUCC